CCUACGGGAGGCAGCAGUGAGGAAUAUUGGUCAAUGGGCGCAAGGCUGAACCAGCCAAGUAGCGUGAAGGAUGACUGCCCUACGGGUUGUAAACCUCUUUUAUGAAGGAAUAAAGUGAUGCACGUGUGCCUUUUUGUAUGUACCUUAUGAAUAAGGAUCGGCUAACUCCGUGCCAGCAGCCGCGGUAAUACGGAGGAUCCGAGCGUUAUCCGGAUUUAUUGGGUUUAAAGGGAGCGUAGGUGGGUUGUUAAGUCAGUUGUGAAAGUUUGCGGCUCAACCGUAAAAGUGCAGUGGAUACUGGAAGUCUUGAGUGCAGUUGAGGCAGGCGGAAUUCGUGGUGUAGCGGUGAAAUGCUUAGAUAUCACGAAGAACUCCGAUUGCGAAGGCAGCUUACCAAACCGCCACUGACGCUGAUGCUCGAAAGCGUGGGUAUCGAACAGGAUUAGAUACCCUAGUAGUC
This 460-nucleotide ribosomal RNA is filed under the name uncultured bacterium. RNAcentral's name for it is "partial 16S ribosomal RNA". It matches the Rfam family "Bacterial small subunit ribosomal RNA", at positions 338 to 795 of the family's 1533-position model. The record is from RNAcentral.